RNAcentral lists this ribosomal RNA (492 nucleotides) under uncultured bacterium. RNAcentral describes it as "partial 16S ribosomal RNA". It matches the Rfam family "Bacterial small subunit ribosomal RNA", at positions 30 to 507 of the family's 1533-position model. The record is from RNAcentral.
AGUGAACGCUGGCGGUAGGCCUAACACAUGCAAGUCGAACGGCAGCACAGUAAGAGCUUGCUCUUACGGGUGGCGAGUGGCGGACGGGUGAGGAAUACAUCGGAAUCUACUUUUUCGUGGGGGAUAACGUAGGGAAACUUACGCUAAUACCGCAUACGACCUACGGGUGAAAGCAGGGGAUCUUCGGACCUUGCGCGAUUGAAUGAGCCGAUGUCGGAUUAGCUAGUUGGCGGGGUAAAGGCCCACCAAGGCGACGAUCCGUAGCUGGUCUGAGAGGAUGAGGAGGGGGGGGGGAGGUGGGGGGGGGGGGGGGGGGGGAGGGGAGGCGGGGGUGGGGAGGGGGGGGCGAGGGGGGGAAGGGUGGGCGAGGGGUGGCGCGUGGGUGAAGAAGGCCUGCGGGUUGUGAGGCGGGGUGGUUGGGGAAGAAAAGCAGCAGGUUAAUACCCCGCUGGUCUGACGGGACCCAAAGAAUAAGCACCGGCUAACUUCGUG